Molecule: transfer RNA, 83 nt
Filed under: Candidatus Nanohaloarchaea archaeon
Lineage: Archaea; Methanobacteriati; Methanobacteriota; Candidatus Nanohaloarchaea
Description: tRNA-Leu
Rfam family: tRNA
About the family: Transfer RNA (tRNA) molecules are approximately 80 nucleotides in length. Their secondary structure includes four short double-helical elements and three loops (D, anti-codon, and T loops).
Source: RNAcentral
GCCGGGGUAGCCAAGUGGCCAAAGGCGCAGGACUUAAGAUCCUGUCCCGCAGGGGUUCGCGAGUUCAAAUCUUGCCCCCGGCA